GAUGAACGCUAGCGGCAGGCCUAACACAUGCAAGUCGAGGGGUAGAGGAAGCUUGCUUCCUUGAGACCGGCGCACGGGUGCGUAACGCGUAUGCAAUCUACCUUUUACAGAGGGAUAGCCCAGAGAAAUUUGGAUUAAUACCUCAUAGUAUAUAUCAUUCGCCUGUUUGAUAUAUUAAAGUUCCAACGGUAUAAGAUGAGCAUGCGUCCCAUUAGUUAGUUGGUAAGGUAACGGCUUACCAAGACGAUGAUGGGUAGGGGUCCUGAGAGGGAGAUCCCCCACACUGGUACUGAGACACGGACCAGACUCCUACGGGAGGCAGCAGUGAGGAAUAUUGGUCAAUGGACGCAAGUCUGAACCAGCCAUGCCGCGUGCAGGAAGACGGUCCUAUGGAUUGUGAACUGCUUUUGUACGGGAAGAAACACUCUUACGUGUAGGAGCCUGACGGUACCGUAAGAAUAAGGAUCGGCUAACUCCGUGCCAGCCGCCGCAGUAA
Molecule: ribosomal RNA, 496 nt
Filed under: uncultured bacterium
Lineage: Bacteria
Description: partial 16S ribosomal RNA
Rfam family: Bacterial small subunit ribosomal RNA
Source: RNAcentral